GACGAACGCUGGCGGCGUGCCUAAUACAUGCAAGUCGAGCGGACAGAUGGGAGCUUGCUCCCUGAAGUCAGCGGCGGACGGGUGAGUAACACGUGGGCAACCUGCCUGUAAGACUGGGAUAACUUCGGGAAACCGGAGCUAAUACCGGAUAAUCCUUUUCCUUUCAUGAGGAAAAGCUGAAAGACGGUUUCGGCUGUCACUUACAGAUGGGCCCGCGGCGCAUUAGCUAGUUGGUGAGGUAACGGCUCACCAAGGCGACGAUGCGUAGCCGACCUGAGAGGGUGAUCGGCCACACUGGGACUGAGACACGGCCCAGACUCCUACGGGAGGCAGCAGUAGGGAAUCUUCCGCAAUGGACGAAAGUCUGACGGAGCAACGCCGCGUGAGUGAUGAAGGCCUUCGGGUCGUAAAGCUCUGUUGUUAGGGAAGAACAAGUAUCGGACGUAACUGCCGGUACCUUGACGGUACCUAACCAGAAAGCCACGGCUAACUACGUG
RNAcentral lists this ribosomal RNA (497 nucleotides) under uncultured bacterium. Its description in RNAcentral is "bacterial SSU rRNA". It matches the Rfam family "Bacterial small subunit ribosomal RNA", at positions 28 to 507 of the family's 1533-position model. The record is from RNAcentral.